Molecule: ribosomal RNA, 497 nt
Filed under: uncultured bacterium
Lineage: Bacteria
Description: partial 16S ribosomal RNA
Rfam family: Bacterial small subunit ribosomal RNA
Source: RNAcentral
ACUCAAAUGAAUUGACGGGGGCCCGCACAAGCAGCGGAGCAUGGGGUUUAAUUCGACGCGACGCGAAGAACCUUACCUGGACUUGACAUGUCGGUGACCGCCGUGGAAACACGGUUUCCCUUCGGGGCACCGUCACAGGUGGUGCAUGGCUGUCGUCAGCUCGUGUCGUGAGAUGUUGGGUUAAGUCCCGCAACGAGCGCAACCCCCGUCGUAUGUUGCCAGCAUUUAGUUGGGGACUCAUACGAGACUGCCGGUGACAAACCGGAGGAAGGUGGGGAUGACGUCAAGUCAUCAUGCCCCUUAUGUCCAGGGCUACACCCGUGCUACAUUGGCGCGUACAAAAGGCAGCGAUACCGCGAGGUGGAGCGAAUCCUAUAAAACGCGUCUCGGUUCGGAUUGCAGGCUGAAACUCGCCUGCAUGAAGGUGGAGUUGCUAGUAAUCGUGGAUCAGCAUUGCCACGGUGAAUACGUUCCCGGGCCUUGCACACACCGCCCGU